CCUACGGGAGGCAGCAGUGAGGAAUAUUGGUCAAUGGGCGUAAGCCUGAACCAGCCAAGUCGCGUGAGGGAUGAAGGUUCUAUGGAUCGUAAACCUCUUUUAUAAGGGAAUAAAGUGUGGGUCGUGUCCUGUUUUGUAUGUACCUUAUGAAUAAGGAUCGGCUAACUCCGUGCCAGCAGCAGCGGUAAUCCGGAGGAUCCGUGCGUUAUCCGGGUUUAUUGGGUUUAAAGGGUGCGUAGGCGGCCUUUUAAGUCAGCGGUGCAAGUCGGUGGCUCAACCAUUGAAUUGCCGUUGAAACUGGGAGGCUUGAGUAUGUUUGAGGCAGGAGGAAUGCGUGGUGUAGCGGUGAAAUGCUUAGAUAUCACGCAGAACACCGAUUGCGAAGGCAGCCUGCCAAGCCAUGACUGACGCUGAUGCACGAAAGCGUGGGGAUCAAACAGGAUUAGAUACCCGAGUAGUC
This 460-nucleotide ribosomal RNA is filed under the name uncultured bacterium. RNAcentral describes it as "partial 16S ribosomal RNA". It matches the Rfam family "Bacterial small subunit ribosomal RNA", at positions 338 to 795 of the family's 1533-position model. The record is from RNAcentral.